This 28-nucleotide small RNA is filed under the name Bombyx mori (domestic silkworm). RNAcentral describes it as "ovarian small RNA-31191". The record is from RNAcentral. Lineage: Eukaryota; Metazoa; Arthropoda; Insecta; Lepidoptera; Bombycidae.
UGAAUGGUGUUAAAAAAGGUUGAAAUAC